Non-coding RNA from Macaca mulatta (Rhesus monkey), 1627 nucleotides. Lineage: Eukaryota; Metazoa; Chordata; Mammalia; Primates; Cercopithecidae. The record is from RefSeq and is a predicted model, not a curated record.
UCUCAGAGGCUCUGGGAGGUCAACUGUUCAAGUCUAGCCUUUUCUAAAUCUUACUGGGGGAAAACCCUGAACAUGAACCAUUAGAGAAGAGGGCGACCCCCCUAAUAACCCCAUAAUAACAGGGCCCGGCUGCUGGGCAUUGUCAACCGGGAAAUAACUCGGUCGCUGCUUUUCUGGCGAAGACGUGUCAUAGCCUGGGAUAGUAGCCUGGGGUCACAGGGCCACACCGAACGCCCGCAGCUCACUCUACCUUCUCUCUGCAGAAAAAGCGUGAAGCUGCUCCUCAUCGGUGCCCACUUAGAAGUUGGUUGAUGAAGGCUGCAGUGCGCACCCCCAGUAAGGGUAAAACUGGCACAUUUGGGCUGAAAUGGGGUGCUCUGGGCCUGGUAGGCUCAGGUAUGCCCUUGGUAAGUUCCAGCUUACAGAGAAGAGCGUUCACUUUGUUUCUGGUGGCAGGGUGAAAAGGACACCUACGUGGCCAAAGGUUACGCGUUUUCCCUCACUGCGAACUGACAGCCUUGUUCGGAGUACAGCCACCACUGACUUCUGGCCCUGGAGGUCUCAUUCACCGGAGACCCUUAACGUCUCCGGCCGAGAAACGAGGGGACGGUAGCUCCCUCUCUCGGCCGAGCUGAACCCCUACCCCCUCUUCCUGUGACCCGAGCCUACUGCGAGACCCGGCCACCGCCAAGUGGGGCGACGUUUCACUCUUAGAGCAGCUUCCCGACCUCUGUUAACUCCCAGGCCGUUUCCGAAGGCGCAAAGUGGAGAAGGAAAAGUUCGGAGAGAAAACAUUGCUCUCUAGCCUCCUGCAACGUCCAGUUCCGCUCUUCCUUCCCCUGAGGUCCAAACUUUAUACUGUCCACCAGGGGAGACCGUCCCCCAACUCGGCUGUCCCUCACUAACGCGGUGGCCCCGACCGAGGGUCCCAGAUGAGCUUCCCGCGGCGCGUGCGGGCGCAACAGGGUAAUUGCGCUCCAGGCGUGGAACCCCAGUCCUGGGUGAUGUGAAACCAACCCCAAGCGGGCUGUGCUCACAGUUUGGGAAGAGGCAAUGUCUCGGAUCCCCCAUAUCUACCCCUCCCCCAACCCUUGAGGGCAGAUUCUGGUACCGCAGAACCGCCAGGCACAGAAGGGAGGAGAGCUGGGACGGACUCCCGGGGAGGGGAUCACCUCCAAGUUCCCGCUCCAAGAGCUUGGUAGCUAGCUGCUAGUAGUUCAGACUUCUGCCCUCGGGGAAAGAGUACCAGGGAAGAAAGAGACUAAGAAAUCCUCAAACGCCGGUGGAACCAGACCCGGGAGGAAGGGCCCAAAUGGGCGCGGCCGUCUGCGAGGUCAGCUUAGCCUCUACUGGACGGUGGAACCCUGAGCGCUGAGGCUGUGCGGUCGCGGGAUUUUAUUGGGCCUCGCCAGCUUCCACAGUCUGCUGCAGUCUGUGGGAUGGGGAGGGAUAAAAUGCAGACUUUGGUUUAUUUUGAAAAUCGGUAUUCUGUCUGAACUACCACGUGAAUGGUUUGCUUUUGUCGCUUGCAGAACCAGGACGAUCUUUGCAAAAACUUCUGCACUAGUUUAUCUAACUAAUGAAAUAAAUGAAGGUUAAAACAAAUAAACAAACAAACAAACCCAGA